UACGUAGGUGGCAAGCGUUGUCCGGAUUUACUGGGCGUAAAGAGCGCGCAGGCGGUCGUGCAAGUCGAGUGUGAAAGCCCCCGGCUCAACUGGGGAGGGUCACGCGAUACUGCUCGACUUGAAGGCAGGAGAGGGAAGUGGAAUUCCCGGUGUAGUGGUGAAAUGCGUAGAUAUCGGGAGGAACACCAGUGGCGAAGGCGACUUCCUGGCCUGUUCUUGACGCUGAGGCGCGAAAGCUAGGGUAGCAAACGGG
RNAcentral lists this ribosomal RNA (253 nucleotides) under uncultured bacterium. Its description in RNAcentral is "partial 16S ribosomal RNA". It matches the Rfam family "Bacterial small subunit ribosomal RNA", at positions 524 to 776 of the family's 1533-position model. The record is from RNAcentral.